GGUGCUGUGGCUUAGCAGGUUAAAGCCCUGGUCUGCAGCAUCAGCAUCCCAUAUGGUCGCCGGUUCAAGUCCCAGCUGCUCCA
Molecule: transfer RNA, 83 nt
Filed under: Oryctolagus cuniculus (rabbit)
Lineage: Eukaryota; Metazoa; Chordata; Mammalia; Lagomorpha; Leporidae
Rfam family: tRNA
About the family: Transfer RNA (tRNA) molecules are approximately 80 nucleotides in length. Their secondary structure includes four short double-helical elements and three loops (D, anti-codon, and T loops). Further hydrogen bonds mediate the characteristic L-shaped molecular structure. tRNAs have two regions of fundamental functional importance: the anti-codon, which is responsible for specific mRNA codon recognition, and the 3' end, to which the tRNAs corresponding amino acid is attached (by aminoacyl-tRNA synthetases). tRNAs cope with the degeneracy of the genetic code in two manners: having more than one tRNA (with a specific anti-codon) for a particular amino acid; and 'wobble' base-pairing, i.e. permitting non-standard base-pairing at the 3rd anti-codon position.
Source: Rfam by way of RNAcentral